AAUCAACGCUGGCGGCGUGCCUAACACAUGCAAGUCGAACGCGAAAGCCUUUCGGGGGUAAGUAGAGUGGCGUCCGGGUGAGUAACACGUGGGUAAUCUGCCUUCGGGUGGGGAAUAACCCAGGGAAACUUGGGCUAAUACCGCAUAAUGCAGCGGCACCUAAUGGUGAUUAGUUGUUAAAGCGGGGGAUCGCAAGACCUCGCGCCUGAAGAGGAGCCUGCGGCAGAUUAGCAGUUGGUGAGGUAAUGGCUCACCAAGGCUUCGAUCUGUAGCUGGUCUGA
RNAcentral lists this ribosomal RNA (281 nucleotides) under uncultured bacterium. Its description in RNAcentral is "partial 16S ribosomal RNA". It matches the Rfam family "Bacterial small subunit ribosomal RNA", at positions 32 to 295 of the family's 1533-position model. The record is from RNAcentral.